RNAcentral lists this ribosomal RNA (624 nucleotides) under uncultured bacterium. RNAcentral describes it as "bacterial SSU rRNA". It matches the Rfam family "Bacterial small subunit ribosomal RNA", at positions 152 to 774 of the family's 1533-position model. The record is from RNAcentral.
CGAAAGAAAGAUUAAUACCUGAUGGUAUGAUGAGAUUGCAUGAUAGCAUCAUUAAAGAUUUAUCGGUGUACGAUGGGGAUGCGUUCCAUUAGGUAGUAGGCGGGGUAACGGCCCACCUAGCCAACGAUGGAUAGGGGUUCUGAGAGGAAGGUCCCCCACAUUGGAACUGAGACACGGUCCAAACUCCUACGGGAGGCAGCAGUGAGGAAUAUUGGUCAAUGGACGAGAGUCUGAACCGGCCAAGUAGCGUGAAGGAUGAAGGUCCUACGGAUUGUAAACUUCUUUUAUAAGGGAAUAAACCCUCCCACGUGUGGGAGCUUGUAUGUACCUUAUGAAUAAGCAUCGGCUAACUCCGUGCCAGCAGCCGCGGUAAUACGGAGGAUGCGAGCGUUAUCCGGAUUUAUUGGGUUUAAAGGGAGCGCAGACGGGUCGUUAAGUCAGCUGUGAAAGUUUGGGGCUCAACCUUAAAAUUGCAGUUGAUACUGGCGUCCUUGAGUGCGGUUGAGGUGUGCGGAAUUCGUGGUGUAGCGGUGAAAUGCUUAGAUAUCACGAAGGACUCCGAUUACGAAGGCAGCACACUAAUCCGUAACUGACGUUCAUGCUCGAAAGUGUGGGUAUCAAACA